AACGAACGCUGGCGGCAGGCCUAACACAUGCAAGUCGAGCGCCCCCUUCAGAGGACAAGUUGGUUUUGGUUUCGGGAGGUAACUUCCGGGGCUGGGGUUUGAUUUUGUUUUCUGAUGGGGGAGCGGCGGACGGGUGAGUAACGCGUGGGAAUUUUCCUCAAGGUACGGAACAACUCAGGGAAACUUGGGCUAAUACCGUAUGAUGCGGAGAUGCCAAAGNUUUAUCGCCUUGGGAUAAGCCCGCGUCAGAUUAGGUAGNGGUGGGGUAACGGCCUACCAAGCCUGCGAUCUGUAGCUGGUCUGAGAGGACGAUCAGCCACACUGGGAC
RNAcentral lists this ribosomal RNA (328 nucleotides) under uncultured bacterium. RNAcentral's name for it is "partial 16S ribosomal RNA". It matches the Rfam family "Bacterial small subunit ribosomal RNA", at positions 29 to 319 of the family's 1533-position model. The record is from RNAcentral.